AUUCUCCACAGGGGAGGAGGCCCUGUGUUAACCACCCCCACGUGGGCAUGAUUGGGGGGAGGUGCAGGGUAUCUGGAGGCCCGCCCUGACUGCCAACAGCUGACCCAUGAGCAGCCUGCAAUAGGAGCUUUCUUCUCUUUGGGGGAAGGAGAGUGACCCUGUGGACAGUUUCAGGACAUGUCACAGGUUUGACCACCUCUGUGGCUAAGGCACCUGGGUCCAAUUAUCCAGGGCCCCAUCUACCUAGAAGAAAAAACUGCAUUUGACUCUCCCAGACUGACUGCACUCUCACCAGACUCUCAUCCUCUUUCUCACAUGAACUUAAAGGAAUGCAAGUGGUAGAGGGGACCAUGGCUGUUGAAAUACACCCUCUAGGAUUUCAUCACUGUUUCAUGUGUUAAAACAGCCUUAAGUUUGAUCAUCAGCAACUUACUCCUCUGCACAGGUUGUCCUGGUAAAAGAAUGAGAUGCUUAUUUUUUUCCCAACUUCACUGAGAUGCAACUGACAUAUAGCAAUGGGAGUUCAUGGUUUCCAGUCUUACUUUUAAGUCCCUAAGCCAUUUCCAGUGUUUUAUAACUUUAUGAACCAGUCAUUCCUGAGGGAGAAAAGUUUCAGCAUCUCUGUGUUCCACAUCAGAAGGCCCCAAGUUGAGGAACGAAACUGAGUCUGCAUGCAGCCCCUGCUUCAGAUUUGGUCAAAUCAUGAUUUCCCAUCACCUAAGGAACCCAGAAGUUGUUCAAAGAUAAUUAAGGCCCGGACCUGACUAGCAGAGUUUCACAUCAGUCUGUACAGUCAUCCAAACUGGAUAAUUCAAUCAACUCUCCACUUGGAGCCUCGUAUUUGAUGAUCUCAUUGUUGUGGAAAUCUGAGAGAUGAAAAUAUAUAUUGGAGUCAAGAGAGGAGUGUUUUGCAAUACCAACCAAAAGCCUUUAAAAUGUUCUGUCGGUCCAAAAUUUCUACUCAUAGAAAUUCACCUUUAAUAAUCAGAAUUAUUAAUGAAGAUUUAUAAUAAGAUGUUUAUUCAGCUGUGGUGCAUGAUCAUAAUAAAAAUAGAAAUAACCUAAAAAUAUGACAUUAGGAGGAUGGUUGAAUAAGUAACCUCUCUUUGAAUGGCACACAGAUAUUUAAGUUGAACUUUGGAGAUGAUUUAAUGACUUGGGAAAAAUAAUCACAUUUGAAUGUUAAGUUUGAAAAGGAGGAUCACAACUUGUGUAUAUAGUAAACAUGGUUUUACAAAAUAUGAAAGUACCAAAUGUAUAGUGAAGAAACUGACCCCUAAAUUACCAAAGCAUAAGAAAAGAACACAAUAUACUAAAUAAAGG
Molecule: long non-coding RNA, 1323 nt
Organism: Bos taurus (domestic cattle)
Lineage: Eukaryota; Metazoa; Chordata; Mammalia; Artiodactyla; Bovidae
Source: Ensembl